This 241-nucleotide ribosomal RNA is filed under the name uncultured bacterium. RNAcentral describes it as "partial 16S ribosomal RNA". It matches the Rfam family "Bacterial small subunit ribosomal RNA", at positions 15 to 249 of the family's 1533-position model. The record is from RNAcentral.
GAUCCUGGCUCAGGAUGAACGCUAGCUACAGGCUUAACACAUGCAAGUCGAGGGGCAGCAUGAACUUAGCUUGCUAAGUUUGAUGGCGACCGGCGCACGGGUGAGUAACGCGUAUCCAACCUACCCUUGUCCACCGGAUAACCCGUCGAAAGGCGGCCUAACACGAUAUGCGGUUCACCGCAGGCAUCUAACGUGAACGAAAUGUGAAGGAGAAGGAUGGGGAUGCGUCUGAUUAGCUUGG